CUGAUAUUCUCGACGUUACCUGUUAUCUUCUUCUGUCUGUGAUUCCCGAGCUUCUUACAACAACGCUUCACAAAACCUUCCAAAGCUUCUCUUUGUUUCAAUGGAGACGCCAUUGCUCGACCUUUCUUCCCGCAACGCAUUUUUCACGCCCAAGAAUUAUUCGUUAUACUACACAAAGCCUUCCAAAUUAACCAAUUUCAGCCUCUGUUGUCCCGAUAAACCCACCACUUCCCAUCGCCGGUUCUGCGCCGAUGAAUCGCCGCCUCCGAUUCUUGAAGACACUGACGUAGUUCUAGAUUUGGUCACUGAAAAAACCCCGAACCGCCGUAGGAUUGUUCGACUUGCCUGGGAGAAGUUGGUGCGGUGGUCCAGGUCUUGGCGAUUCAAGGCAAAGACCGACGUUCUUGAGCGCACGAACAAGGUGGCUGUGCUUGGAGGCGGAUCUUUUGGCACAGCGAUGGCUGCCCAUAUUGCUGGUAGAAAGCCACAAUUGGAAGUCAACAUGCUUCUCCGUGAUCCUCAAGUAUGCCAGUCCAUUAACGAUAGUCACUACAAUAGUAAGUACUUCCCAGGGCACAAGCUACCGAUAAAUGUUAUUGCUACAACUGAUGCCAAAGCUGCUUUGCUAGGUGCUGAUUUCUGUUUUCACGCUGUACCUGUGCAGUUCAGCUCGUCCUUUCUUGAGAGCAUUGCUGACCAUGUUGAUCCACAUGUGCCAUUCAUAUCUCUAAGCAAAGGGUUGGAACUUAAUACCUUGAGGAUGAUGUCACAGAUUAUUCCCCAUGCACUGAGAAAUCCUCGACAACCCUUUGUUGCUCUUUCAGGACCUUCAUUUGCUUCGGAAUUAAUGAAUAAAUUGCCGACAGCAAUGGUAGUUGCAUCAAAGGACAAAAAAUUGGCAAAUGCAGCUCAGCAACUACUAGCUUCUAGUUAUCUAAGAAUAAGCACUUCGAGUGAUGUGACAGGGGUGGAGAUUGCAGGUGCAUUGAAGAAUGUCCUUGCGAUAGCAGCAGGAAUUGUUGAGGGGAUGAAUCUUGGUAACAACUCUAUGGCAGCUCUUGUAGCACAAGGUUGUUCUGAGAUCCGUUGGCUAGCAACGAAGAUGGGUGCGAAGCCAACGACAAUUACUGGACUCUCAGGCACAGGGGACAUUAUGCUCACAUGCUUUGUCAACCUCUCUCGAAAUCGCACUGUCGGAGUACGACUAGGGUCUGGUGAGAAUCUGGAUGAUAUAUUGAGCUCAAUGAAUCAGGUCCCCCCCGUAUGCAACAGGUUGCAGAAGGUGUAUCAACUGCUGGGGCUGUUAUUGCGUUGGCCCAGAAAUAUAAUGUUAAGAUGCCAGUUUUGACAGCAGUGGCCCGAAUUAUCGAUAACGAGCUAACACCACAAAAAGCUGUUCUUGAAUUGAUGGGACUUCCUCAGGUGGAAGAGGUCUGAUGAUACCUGGGGGCUUCAGAGAUAUUAAGGCAUUGUUAUCACAAUAAAUAUUUGGCAUGAAACCAUGAUGCCAUCAACCAUUUUACUAGAACGUUGAUCAUAAGUUCUAUGAAACUUGCCACUGAAGACCAAAGGUGAAACUAUCUUUGGUUCUCAUUAAUCAAAUUCAGUGAUUUUGAUCUUGUGAAGUCAGUCAUAAAAAAACUGCCAUCAUUCUGUCUGAUUUAUUUAAUUGUUAUGUGAAGGAUCAACAUCGGUAUCUAUCAUUUAAUGAUCAAAUGUGAUCAUGUAAUAUGAUUCAUAAUUGACUCAAAAGUUCACUGUCA
This is an RNA transcript of Cucurbita moschata (crookneck pumpkin), 1763 nucleotides long. It is a transcript of the gene named glycerol-3-phosphate dehydrogenase [NAD(+)] 2, chloroplastic, with no coding region annotated. The record is from RefSeq and is a predicted model, not a curated record. NCBI's taxonomy places the organism in Eukaryota, Viridiplantae, Streptophyta, Magnoliopsida, Cucurbitales, Cucurbitaceae. The transcript has 9 exons.